Molecule: small nucleolar RNA, 134 nt
Organism: Nannospalax galili (Upper Galilee mountains blind mole rat)
Lineage: Eukaryota; Metazoa; Chordata; Mammalia; Rodentia; Spalacidae
Source: Ensembl
ACAUGCUGCCUUUGAGCCCCCGCUGGGCCUCCUCAUGGAGCCGGGAGUUAAGCUGCAGCACCAUAACACAUUGCUAGGGAUAACUGAGGCCACCUGCCCAUUGCAAGUGGUCCUUUUAACUGCCAGCUACAGGG